RNAcentral lists this ribosomal RNA (545 nucleotides) under uncultured bacterium. RNAcentral describes it as "bacterial SSU rRNA". It matches the Rfam family "Bacterial small subunit ribosomal RNA", at positions 8 to 529 of the family's 1533-position model. The record is from RNAcentral.
AGAGUUUGAUCCUGGCUCAGAUUGAACGCUGGCGGCAUGCUUAAUACAUGCAAGUCGAACGGUAACAGGCAUCGGUGAUCCCUUCGGGGUGAUCUUGGCGCUGACGAGUGGCGAACGGGUGAGUAAUGCUUGGGAAUCUGCCCGGUAGUGGGGGACAACCCGAGGAAACUCGGGCUAAUACCGCGUAAGCUCCACGGAGGAAAGCGGGGGAUCUUCGGACCUCGCGCUAUCGGAUGAGCCCAAGUCGGAUUAGCUUGUUGGUGGGGUAAUGGCCCACCAAGGCGACGAUCCGUAGCUGGUCUGAGAGGACGAUCAGCCACACUGGGACUGAGACACGGCCCAGACUCCUACGGGAGGCAGCAGUAGGGAAUAUUGGACAAUGGGCGCAAGCCUGAUCCAGCAAUGCCGCGUGUGUGAAGAAGGCCUGCGGGUUGUAAAGCACUUUCAGUGGGGAAGACAAACUCGAGGUUAAUACCCUCGGGUCUCGACGUUACCCACAGAAGAAGCACCGGCCAACUCCGUGCCAGCAGCCGCGGUAAUACGGA